GUGUGUGUGAGACUUAGGAGAAGGAGAGUGUGUUUUCGCGCGCGCGUGUUUGUGAGAAAGACUGAGAGUAUGUGAGACUACAUUAUGUGAGAAAGACUUUGCGAGUGUGUGAGACUAUGUGUGUGAAAGAGAUUGUAUAUAAGAGGCUCUGUGUAUGUGUGUGUGAGACUGUGAGAGAUUGUGUAUGAGAAAAAUUGUAUGUGCAUGAGAGCACUGAGAGCUCACUUGGGUGUGAGAGACUGAUAGGGACUGUGUGAGAGUCUGUGAGAGAUACGGUGUGUGUAAGAGUGCGUUUAAGAGGGAGAGAGAACGGCGUGUGUCGGUGUGUGUGAGGGAGAAGCAAACACACACACAGAAUUCUACAUUCCAUCUGGGCCCCUCUGUGCUUGCCUGGCACUGGCGGUGUGCCCGGGUGUGCUGCUGGCUGCCUGUCCUGAGUAGCUGUCCAUCCUUUGCAAAGGUCACUGAAGAGAUGUAUGGUGAGACAUAUUGUGAAAUGCUUGGAUAUACUACUUCCUUUGGCUGUUUGAGUACUAUACAUCUGACAUACACAAAAAACUAUUAGAGAAGAGAAUUGGCAUGUGUCCACAGUACAAAGAAAUGGACUUUCCCUCACUUCUGUCUUCCAAAUCUCAAGUAUGAUCUCCCACUCCUCUGGAGAAGAAUGAUAAGAGCAGGGAAUUCCCGAUUAGCAACUUUCAAGGAUGAAUCGACCCACUGCAACUGCGUCUUAGCCAUUAACCAAUGACUCAGAGAGUUUAUACCAGUUUAUCCCACCAGCUGGGUGUGAGAGACCCUUCACACUACACUCCUGGCGGGACUGUUAACUUGAGAAGAGGACAGUUAGACAGCGCAAUCAAGGUUUUUUCUCUUUUAGUUGUUCUACUGAGAUUGGGGUAUUUUGCAGUGGGAAAGCAAAAAUGUUGGUGGAUGGCCUGCAUGUAGGUGAGUCUGUGGUAUUGAAGCCAUUAUAUUAUCAUAUUAAUGUUCACUAAGUUGAUUGUGUUUUAUGUUGCAAGUCCCACUGUGUUCAGAUUUUUCUUUGCCUAAAACAAUGCUGCAUAUUUUCUUAGCUAAAUUCCGAAAGAACUAAUAUUGCAUUUUUGGUAUAAUGUUCUACUUCUUUAUUUAUUGGAAGUACCAGCUGUAUUAUUUUUCUUAGAUAGUGCAGCAUAUGAAUAAAAAUAUAUUUUCUUGAUUGAACUUUUCAUUUCAAUGUUUAUUGCAAGCUAUGCUUGACAGGAGUACAACGAGGUUAAAAAUUCUCUACCUUAGGCUGGUACCAUGACCCCAAAUUUCGCACAUUUUUUAUGCUGAAAAAAACAUGGUUUUCCUGGGGAUAGUUUAUAAUACUUGGUGAU
Non-coding RNA from Vicugna pacos (alpaca), 1361 nucleotides. The record is from RefSeq and is a predicted model, not a curated record. NCBI's taxonomy places the organism in Eukaryota, Metazoa, Chordata, Mammalia, Artiodactyla, Camelidae.